Molecule: non-coding RNA, 101 nt
Organism: Naganishia onofrii
Lineage: Eukaryota; Fungi; Basidiomycota; Tremellomycetes; Filobasidiales; Filobasidiaceae
Source: the annotation of a GenBank genome assembly
GGUUGGAUAGGAAAGUGGUCUAAUCCGCCAGUUUAAGGUCGAUUUAUCGUUCUUAAAUCACUGGUCCGUCCCGGGCGUGGGUUCGAAUCCCACUCCAAUCA